AUCUUCAGGGCGGAGUGAAAUUCUCCACCGGCUGUAAAUGCGGCGCGUUCGCAUGAGCCAGCAAGCCUUUGGAAAAUCCAAAAGCACGAUGCGGUGAAAUUCCGCAGCCGACAGUAAAGUCUGGAUGGGAGAGGAUU
This 137-nucleotide non-coding RNA is filed under the name uncultured Treponema sp. Its description in RNAcentral is "FMN riboswitch (RFN element)". It matches the Rfam family "FMN riboswitch aptamer (RFN element)". From Rfam's summary of the family: The RFN element is a highly conserved domain that is found frequently in the 5'-untranslated regions of prokaryotic mRNAs that encode for flavin mononucleotide (FMN) biosynthesis and transport proteins. The record is from RNAcentral. Lineage: Bacteria; Pseudomonadati; Spirochaetota; Spirochaetia; Treponematales; Treponemataceae.